GACGAACGCUGGCGGCGUGCUUAACACAUGCAAGUCGAACGAUGACGACCGAGCUUGCUCGGUCUGAUUAGUGGCGAACGGGUGAGUAACACGUGAGCAACCUGCCCUUCACUCUGGGAUAACCUCGGGAAAUCGGGGCUAAUACCGGAUAUGAGCUCCUGUCGCAUGGCGGGUGUUGGAAAGUUUUUCGGUGAAGGAUGGGCUCGCGGCCUAUCAGUUUGUUGGUGAGGUAGUGGCUCACCAAGGCGAUGACGGGUAGCCGGCCUGAGAGGGCGACCGGCCACACUGGGACUGAGACACGGCCCAGACCCCUACGGGAGGCAGCAGUGGGGAAUAUUGCACAAUGGGCGAAAGCCUGAUGCAGCGACGCCGCGUGAGGGAUGACGGCCUUCGGGUUGUAAACCUCUUUCAGCAGGGAAGAAGCGAAAGUGACGGUACCUGCAGAAGAAGCGCCGGCUAACUACGUG
RNAcentral lists this ribosomal RNA (467 nucleotides) under uncultured bacterium. Its description in RNAcentral is "partial 16S ribosomal RNA". It matches the Rfam family "Bacterial small subunit ribosomal RNA", at positions 28 to 507 of the family's 1533-position model. The record is from RNAcentral.